This 73-nucleotide transfer RNA is filed under the name Canis lupus familiaris (dog). It matches the Rfam family "tRNA". Rfam says of the family: Transfer RNA (tRNA) molecules are approximately 80 nucleotides in length. The record is from Rfam by way of RNAcentral. RNAcentral also lists the same sequence under 1 other name. Lineage: Eukaryota; Metazoa; Chordata; Mammalia; Carnivora; Canidae.
ACCUGGCUGGCUCCGUUGGUUGAGCAUCUGACUCUUGAUCUCAAGGUUGUGAGUUCAAGCCCCACGUUGGGCA